Molecule: transfer RNA, 138 nt
Organism: Puccinia sorghi
Lineage: Eukaryota; Fungi; Basidiomycota; Pucciniomycetes; Pucciniales; Pucciniaceae
Rfam family: tRNA
About the family: Transfer RNA (tRNA) molecules are approximately 80 nucleotides in length.
Source: Rfam
GACAACGUGGCCGAGCGGUUAAGGCGAUUGACUAGAAUAUUCUGCAUUCUCAGACACUACUCUUCUUCUUUGAACGAAGGAGUGUGUUCUACCAUCAAUUGGGAUAUUCCCGCGUAGGUUCAAAUCCUGCCGUUGUCG